UCUCAUAGCUGAAAACUGGGAUUGACCAUUUAGGACAUGUCAGAUGAUCAACUGAAAAAGCCCAGCUGUGGUAAAAUGGGAGGAUAUAAACAUGACUGUUAAAAGUUAUCAAGAAGGAAGAUGGAGAAAACAUUGUACUGACAACUAUUUGGAUUCACACAAAGAACUCCAAAAGAAGAGAAAUAGACUACUAUCUUAUAAGGGAAGUUGGGUAAGCUGAGAUGUCUACUCUGUCUUAACACUUCCUGUGGAGCUGUGAGAAGACUCGUUGCUGCAUCUCUGGCACCCUCAGCCAAGCCCACACCACAUCAGUGACAAAGUGAAGACUUCACACUUACUGUAGACAGAAGUUUCUGUGUGUCCCUGAGGACCACAUUCCUUUGGACUCUGCUAAUCUGAAUUCAUAAGGAUGCCUUCCUUUAGCUGGUGCAGCAGAUGGUCUAUCCUCGGGAACUCUCCAUAUGCUACUAAAAUUGUCCAUACCAUGGUGGUGGAAAGAUGGAUCUACUGUUACAACAGGACACUGCCCUUGUAGAAGACAUCAUGAGUUUGGUCCCAGUACCUGCAAUGGGCAGCUCACAACCACUGUGGUUCCAAUCAAGAUCACUUGCCAUCUUCUGGACUUCUGAGAGAGCUGUACUCAUCCAUACACAUAUUCACAC
This is a non-coding RNA of Cricetulus griseus (Chinese hamster), 662 nucleotides long. NCBI's taxonomy places the organism in Eukaryota, Metazoa, Chordata, Mammalia, Rodentia, Cricetidae. The record is from RefSeq and is a predicted model, not a curated record.